CAAAAAAAUGUAAAAAUUUUCUUGUUCACUCGAAAUUUGAUUUUGAAUAACCCCAUACCAAAUUGGAGCAAAAGAACUGGCGGAUGAGCUGAAAAUUGUGGGAAAAGCCAGGCGCCGCCACCGUUGGAAAAACCAAAAAUCACCUCCGCUGAGCCCUUUUCUGAUUCCCGUUUCAUGCGAUUUUUCCACCAUUGUAUUCACCGUUUUGUUUCUCACAGGUUGACUGAAGAAAAAUGCCC
Molecule: long non-coding RNA, 239 nt
Filed under: Carica papaya (papaya)
Lineage: Eukaryota; Viridiplantae; Streptophyta; Magnoliopsida; Brassicales; Caricaceae
Description: long non-coding RNA (CPAP_LNC003383)
Source: RNAcentral